RNAcentral lists this transfer RNA (59 nucleotides) under Macrostomum lignano. RNAcentral's name for it is "tRNA-Thr". Lineage: Eukaryota; Metazoa; Platyhelminthes; Macrostomidae. The record is from RNAcentral.
GCUUUUAUAGUUUAAAUAAAAUGUUAAUUUUGUAAAUUAAAGAUAACAAAUUUGAAAGC